RNAcentral lists this ribosomal RNA (811 nucleotides) under uncultured bacterium. Its description in RNAcentral is "bacterial SSU rRNA". It matches the Rfam family "Bacterial small subunit ribosomal RNA", at positions 8 to 796 of the family's 1533-position model. The record is from RNAcentral.
AGAGUUUGAUCCUGGCUCAGAACGAACGCUGGCGGCGUGGAUAAGACAUGCAAGUCGAACGGAUUUAGUCUGGCAGCAAUGUCAGGCUGAGUCAGUGGCGCAAGGGUGCGUAACACGUGGGCAACCUGCCCGGAAAUGGGGGAUAGCCCGCCGAAAGGGGAUUAAUACCGCAUGUGGCUACUGGUGACAUCACCGGGACGCCAAAGCUGGGGUUAAACCUAGCGUUUCCGGAUGGGCCCGCGGCCUAUCAGCUAGUUGGUGUGGGUAACGGCCCACCAAGGCUAUGACGGGUAGCUGGUCUGAGAGGACGACCAGCCACACUGGAACUGAGACACGGUCCAGACACCUACGGGUGGCAGCAGUCGAGAAUUUUUCUCAAUGGGGGAAACCCUGAAGGAGCGACGCCGCGUGGAGGAUGAAGGUCUUCGGAUUGUAAACUCCUGUCAUUGGUGAACAAGGGCUCUGGGUUAACUGCCCGGGGUUUUGAUAGUAGCCGAAGAGGAAGAGACGGCUAACUCUGUGCCAGCAGCCGCGGUAAUACAGAGGUCUCAAGCGUUGUUCGGAUUCAUUGGGCGUAAAGGGUGCGUAGGCGGCGGGGCAAGUCGGAUGUGAAAUCCCGGGGCUCAACCCUGGAACUGCACUCGAUACUGCUCUGCUAGAGAACUGGAGAGGAGACUGGAAUUUACGGUGUAGCAGUGAAAUGCGUAGAUAUCGUAAGGAAGACCAGUGGCGAAGGCGAGUCUCUGGACAGAUUCUGACGCUGAGGCACGAAGGCCAGGGGAGCAAACGGGAUUAGAUACCCUAGUAGUCC